AAUUUAUCGUUUUUAUCUUUAUACUAAUUUAUAAAGUUAAUAAAAUAGAUAAUUUUUCAAUUUUAUAACUUCACCGUGCGGCAGACGACAUGCACAAUGCGAAGUCCGCCCGCUGUCCAGGACGAAUCUUGUUUAACCGAUUUGACCUUUCAGUCGUGGCCUAGUCAAAGAUUAUAUAAAUGUUGUUCAUCUUAUUAUUUAUUUUCCCUAUUAACAGUAUAUAUAUUUUUCGUAAAAGAAAAAUCUGCAAUAUUUAUACAGGGUGUUUUUAAUGUCCACCGACAAACUUCCAGGCCAGGUUCUGCUCAUGAAAAUGGGUGGAAAGUGUCUUAUGAACAUAGUGUCAGAAAUGCAUAUUUUUUGAGAUAA
This 369-nucleotide long non-coding RNA is filed under the name Androctonus crassicauda. The record is from RNAcentral. Lineage: Eukaryota; Metazoa; Arthropoda; Arachnida; Scorpiones; Buthidae.